CCAGUGUUCUUAAGAACCCUAAUAUAAAAAUAGCCCCCGUCCUUAAACCAAAUUGCAUAAACUAGUCGCAACCACUCCAGAACCCUAACUCCCUCGAUCUUCUCUCUAGCGUCGAACCUCCUCCUUCUUCUCUGCCAUCGACACCGCCGGACAGUACCAUCGCGGUCCUUUCCUCUCCUUUUCCCUUUCAUGUAGGCUUGUAGUACUUCUCGCUCUCCCUCAUCCUCAACGACUCCGCACACCACCUCUCCAACAGCAUGCUGUCUCCUCCACGCACCAUCAACUGCCAUUAUCCUUAACGAAUCGCAGCAGCACGCACUAGACGCCGUCGUCCUGUACUUAGCUCAGCCACUCUCUAUCUUCAUCACGAACUCCUCAAGAAUGGAGCCUCCCGGUCAGAACUUGGAAUCAACAAGUGCAUUUGGGGGAAGGAGGUGAAAGGUGGAAGAAAUGUAGCUGCUGAAAUCAACCAGCACUUUAGAUUCUGUUGAUUCUGAUUUUGCUGAAUUUGUUCUCUUUUGAUUUUUUUUGUUCUGGUUUUAUUUGUUCUUUCUGAUUCAUUUUGAUUUUAUUUCUAAUUCAGUCUCUUCUUGUUUUUU
Molecule: non-coding RNA, 599 nt
Organism: Arachis ipaensis
Lineage: Eukaryota; Viridiplantae; Streptophyta; Magnoliopsida; Fabales; Fabaceae
Source: RefSeq, a predicted model, not a curated record